This 1470-nucleotide long non-coding RNA is filed under the name Canis lupus familiaris (dog). RNAcentral describes it as "lncRNA (ENSCAFG00030014025.1)". Lineage: Eukaryota; Metazoa; Chordata; Mammalia; Carnivora; Canidae. The record is from RNAcentral.
AUGGGUGUUAGGGUUCCCUUACUUCUUGCUCCUGGGCUGCCACUUGACCUCUGGCUCCCCAUGGGGGACGGGGGCAUGGCGGGGGAGGGCUGGCAGCUGUGCGGACUCCUCCGACACCACAGGAGACAGAUGUUACUCCAGGGAGGAGGGAUGCAACAUUCCUCUGGAACUUGGGUACUACUUUUUCCAAAGACGUGUUGGGAGCGUUAUCACCCAGACACCCGUGCCAGUUGCCUCCCUCCGCUCUGGCCCCAGGACAGCUCGGGAAGACCCGGAGUUCUCAGCUCGGCUCCACCAUCCCUUCCUUAUCCCUUCCCGUCCGGUCCAAACGUCACCUCCUCUGUGGAGCCUUCCCGGAAACUCCAGGAGCCUCCGCAUCCCUCCCCGCCCAGCAUCCCGAGCCCCCACCUCUCCCAGGGCGUGGGACGGCCUCGCGCGUGGCGGGUGCGCGCCCCCGGCCGCGCGUUUCCCUCCCCGCACCACCGGCGCCCCCCGAGCCCCGGGGCUGACGGCCGCGCGGAGGUCGAGGUGCGGCCGCGUUUUCCGCCCGCCCGCCCGCUGGCAGCGCGGCGCGGCGGCCCGAGGACCGCGAGGCCAAGUGAGCGCGCGCCUGCCCCCCGCCGCGCCAGGCCCCGCCCUCCCGCGCCCGCCCCAGCGCCGGCCCCUUUUGUUCCCUCCCGGAGCCGGGCCGCUCGCUCCGCUCCCGCUCGGCUCGGCUCGGCUCGGCUCGGCUCGGCCGCGGGGCGCGCCGGCGGCGGCUGGGGCUGGGGCUGGGGCUGGGGCUGGGGCUGCGCUGGGGCUGGGGCUGCUCGGUCCGCGCCGCCCGCCUCCCCGCCGCCGCCCGCACGCCAGGCCCGGCCCGGAGCGCGAGCGCGGAGCCCCGGCGCCGGGAGGGGCCGCAGCAUCGUCUCCCCCGCGGCGCCCCGGCCCGGAGCGGAGGAGGAGGAGGCCGGGCUGCGAGCCGCCCGCCGCGGGGGCCCAGGUAGGAGCCGCCGGAGGCCCCCGGGGAGGCGGCUGGCCGGGCAACAAAGGAGCGGGGGCCGCGGGAGGCGGCGGGGCCUGGGCUGCAGCGGGGCGGCCGCCCGCGGGCAUUGGCGGGCGGGGGCGGGGGCGGGCGCGGGGGCGCGGGCGAGGGCGCGGGCGCGGGCGAGGGCGAGGGCGAGGGCCGCCCCGGCCGCACCCCACUGCCCCGGCGCCCGCGGGCGAGGAGGGGACGCGCCUGGCGUGGGGGCUCCCGGGCAGCGGGGCCCUCCCUCCGCGGGGCACCGCCGGCACCCGGGCUCGGCGCAGCGGCGGGGGGGCGGCCGGAGGCGCCGCAGGGGUGGGCAGGGGUGGGCAGGGGUGGGGGCGCCCGGCCCGGUGGGCGCGGCCGCGCAGCACCCCCUCUGCAGACCCCGGGCCUGGGGGAACACGGAGCCCGCGCCCCCCGCUGGGGUCGCCCGCCCGGUCGCCUUUGCAAAACUUGGUUGA